GGGGGGGGGGGGGGGGGGGGGGGGGGGGGGGGGGGCGGGCGGGCCCUGCGGGGGUAGCGGCGGACGGGUGAGUAACGCGUGGGAGUAUGCCCUUCUCGCCGGAAUGGUCCUGGGAACCGGGGGGGACGACCGUCUACGCCCGCUGGGGGGAAGAUGUAUCGGGGCCGGAUUAGCCCGCGUUGGAUUAGGUAGUUGGUGGGGUAAUGGCCUACCAAGCCGACGAUCCAUAGCUGGUUUGAGAGGAUGAUCAGCCACACUGGGACUGAGACACGGCCCAGACUCCUACGGGAGGCAGCAGUGGGGAAUCUUAGACAAUGGGGGCAACCCUGAUCUAGCCAUGCCGCGUGAGUGAUGAAGGCCUUAGGGUUGUAAAGCUCUUUCAGCUGGGAAGAUAAUGACGGUACCAGCAGAAGAAGCCACGGCUAACUCCGUG
RNAcentral lists this ribosomal RNA (433 nucleotides) under uncultured bacterium. Its description in RNAcentral is "partial 16S ribosomal RNA". It matches the Rfam family "Bacterial small subunit ribosomal RNA", at positions 39 to 507 of the family's 1533-position model. The record is from RNAcentral.